RNAcentral lists this unclassified non-coding RNA (3384 nucleotides) under Hevea brasiliensis (rubber tree). The record is from RNAcentral. Lineage: Eukaryota; Viridiplantae; Streptophyta; Magnoliopsida; Malpighiales; Euphorbiaceae.
GGAGGAUUAAAGUGUUUAAUUUUGAAAUAGUAGACAAAAGUGAAUGUAUAUUAUUAAGCUAAACCUCUAGGAGUUGUAUGUAAUUUUAUAUAUAAAAAAAAAAAGGCUACUUCCACAUAAUUCUACACUUCCAUUUCUUCUUGAGAGGAUGUCUAAACAUGAAAACACCUCACUUCUUUUGUCGAGUUAAUGAAGGGGACUGGCUUGGCAGAGGAGAAGGGAAGACUUCAGAUAUGGUAUCCCAAGAAAAGUCGUCUUUUUUUCUACUCCUCCUGUCCAAGAACGACGGCUUAACAGGUGUUCCCACCAUUUCAACCUUGCAUGUUAACAUGGCAACAAUCUCUGACAUAGGGGGCCUCAAGUUUGCAUGAGGUUGAAGACACAAGAAAGCUACAUGGAUUGCUUGCAACACAUCUUUCUCCACAAACCCAUGUUCUCGCAUUCUAGGAUCAACUAGAUCAAUUACACUGGACCUCUCAUAUAAUUUCCACGCAUAUUCAGGGAGGUAUUGCAUAUCUGAUGGUAAAGUUAGAUCUGUGUUCUUCCUGCAGCUAAUAAUUUCAAGGACAAGCACUCCAAAGCUAUAGAUGUCUGCCUUUUCAGACAAUUCUCCUCUAAUGGCAUACUCAGGGGCUGUGUAACCUCUGAAUAAGAGAACAAGACAAUUUAUAAAGAGAUGAUAGAUAAAUAUGACCAGAAUAGCAGAAAUUGAUAUGUGAAGCUCAAUGGUAUAUCCGUACAAUAAAAAUUACAGAAGCAGACUUCAUAAAAGCAGUCGCAUGAAUAGCAUAAAACUCAUAGCUUUAUUUAAUUCUUUUAAGUCGUGUAUCAAAUAAAAGAAUUUUUAUUUUUCAUCCAACUCUUAUUUGCUUUCCACAGCACAAUGUAGAAGAAAACAAAGAAGAUUGUCAUCGAUGGUGCAAAGGUUUAAAAACUUGGCACAACUGGUGUGGUAUCUUUGUAUUGCAAGAAUACAUUGGUUAUCUUUUGUGGAAGACUUUGUUGGUGAUAUUGAUCAUUGCAAUAGCCAAUAAUGGCACGUCAGAUUUGGUGGCUACUGUGCUAGGAGGGGAAACCAAAAAAGUAGAAGAGAGACAAUAUAUCAGAGAGCAGAAACAAAGGUUGCACUUAUUUGUUCAAGUUAUACCAAAUCUACUACUUAAAGAGUUGCAACAAAUGGUUUUUAAAGCAAUUCCAUAGACUCCUAGUUCUGCAAUAAAAACUUACAAAGUUCCAGCAAAUGUAGUGCUUAGGUAAGCUUGGUCUUCUGGGAAGAACCUAGCCAGCCCAAAAUCUCCAAUCCUAGGUUGGAAUUUAUCAUCAAGAAGAAUGUUGCUCGCUUUGAUAUCUCUGUGAACAAUUCUUAGGUGUGAAUCCUCGUGUAGAUACUGUAAUCCUCGAGCAAUCCCUAAAAUUAUUUGGAACCUUGUUUUCCAAUCUAGGAAAUGAUCGCUUUUUCCUGCAUCACAGAAAUGAAGGCAUAUAUUCAGCUAAAGCAUUUAACAUGGUAUCAUUUUUAAUAAAAUAAUGGUUUCUUUCUGACAAAUAUGCUGUGAUUUAUGCUACUCCAAAGAUCUCUGUUUAAAGUUAAUUUAUUACUUACCAAAAACUCUAUGGAACCAAAAGAUUGUGAACAGAAUAAAUGAAUUUAUGGUUGAAGAUUACUCAGAAAAAUAGUACUGCUUGGUCCUUAGUUAUAUAAGAAUAAUUGGUCUUUGUUCCUCAGGAACCAAAUGAUGACUAGUAAAUCAGUUUGCAGUUCCACCAGUACAACCUAUAAAAAAAGGGGAAAAAAAAAGCAGUACUUGGAGGAAUUGUCCUUGGAUCUGGAAAAUAGUCUGUAAAUGACCUGGGCUUGGUAUUUGUAUUCAUUUUAGGUUUGAUACAACCUACCUUGAGGCAUCUGAUUAAUAAGUUAAACUGGAUCCUAUGCAAAUCUGUAAUUGAGCAGUGUACUAAACUGGAUGGAGAGUUUACAGAGUUGAACAGGGAACAUCAUCAGCAUUAUUGGGCUAGCCUCAAAUAGGUAUUAGCAGUAGACCCUAACUCCUGCCUAUGAGGUUCACCCAGACAUUGCUCUCCUGCAUCCCUUGGGAGAGAUCAGAGAACCAUUUCAAACAAUCACAGGAUUUCUUAUGUUGAGAAGAAGAUACAGCUUGUAUCUACAUAUUGUAACAAAUAAUACCAAGAAGAAGAGAAAUAGCAGAUUGAGAUGAUAGUGAUACCAUAUAGUAUGAGGUCUAAACUCCUAUUCUUCAUGUACUCAUACACAAGUAGUCGUUGGGGCCCAUCCGAGCAACACCCAAUAAGUCGAACCAAGUUCUUGUGUUGGAUGCUUGUGAUCAUCCUCACCUCUGAAAGAAAUUCUGAUUCCCCUUGCUGGGAUUUUUCAAGAGACAACUUUUUAACUGCCACCAUUCUGCCAUCAGCUAACUUUCCCCGAUAGACAGGUCCAAAUCCACCUCUUCCAAGAAGAUUACUAGGAUGAAAAUUUUUAGUUGCCUUCUUCAAUGUAUUGAAGUCAAAAUAGCUUAUGGUUCGAAGGUUCCCACUCCAGAAAUCAGCAGAAGCUUUCUGCUUUUUUUUUCUUCUCAGUAAAAACUUCAUUGUCUCUGAAGGUUUGACAAACUUCCAAAACGCUACUAUGAGAAUCAGCAAUAUAAUGAGAAAAAUUAUCCCUCCAAGGAAAAAGAAUAAAGCUGAAGAAUGUGAUGAAGAGGAUGAGCCCUGAAUCUGAAGCUUAGUGGGAGGUGGAGAGAUCACUUCUGCUGCUCGGCGAGCCAUCAUCACAAGCUUCGAAGCAAGUAUUUUUCUAGGAAUGAAAGCUAAUUCUCUCUUCUAAUUCCUUGUUUUUUCAGGAAAAUAAAAAUAAAAAUAAAUGUUUUGUUUCGUUUCUUUAAAAAAGGGUAGAAAGGUCCAGACAGGAAAAGAGAGUGCAGCUGUAACAUAGGAUCAAUCGAAGGGAAUUGGAGGAUCAAAGACGAGGAGAAAGAUCCAAAAUGUCUUCAUUAGUAGACGGCGAAAAACGCACGUAGCAGUACAAGUGCAAGUAUUCUUGUGCAUGAAAAAACGCGUCUUUGAUUCCUUACAAUGUCUUCCUGCUUGUGAAGCGCCAGCCAUAGCCGACCAUUCUUUUUAUUUUUCUUAUUGCCCCAAAUGCCAUAGAAAAAGUCCCCUCUACUCCCCCAGAAAACUACCCAAUCUCUGCAACCCUGACGACAGAGUCCAAAACCAUUUCCAAAGAAAUUUUCGAGGCCAUUUACUGAUGUCGAGCUUGUUGGCGCAUCCAUCUGCUGAUCUACACACAUUUGCCGCACACAGCUUGAAAAGACUGCAAAACUCGUGCUGAAACUUGAAAGGGAUGGCAAAGGAUCGAUAGUUUUA